UACAGAGGUCCCAAGCGUUGUUCGGAAUCACUGGGCAUAAAGCGCACGUAGGCGGCUAGGUAAGUCGGAUGUGAAAUACCUCGGCUCAACCGAGGAACUGCGUCCGAUACUGCCUGGCUUGAGGUCCGGAGGGGAGAGUGGAAUUCCCGGUGGAGCGGUGAAAUGCGUAGAGAUCGGGAAGAACGCCGGCGGCGAAAGCGACUCUCUGGUCGGAAUCUGACGCUGAGGUGCGAAAGCUAGGGGAGCAAACGGG
Molecule: ribosomal RNA, 253 nt
Filed under: uncultured bacterium
Lineage: Bacteria
Description: partial 16S ribosomal RNA
Rfam family: Bacterial small subunit ribosomal RNA
Source: RNAcentral